Molecule: ribosomal RNA, 253 nt
Filed under: uncultured bacterium
Lineage: Bacteria
Description: partial 16S ribosomal RNA
Rfam family: Bacterial small subunit ribosomal RNA
Source: RNAcentral
UACGUAGGCAGCGAGCGUUGUUCGGAGUUACUGGGCGUAAAGGGUGUGUAGGCGGUUGUUUAAGUUUGGUGUGAAAUCUCCCGGCUCAACUGGGAGGGUGCGCCGAAUACUGAAUAACUAGAGUGCGGGAGAGGAAAGUGGAAUUCCUGGUGUAGCGGUGAAAUGCGUAGAUAUCAGGAGGAACACCGGUGGUGUAGACGGCUCUCUGGACCGUAACUGACGCUGAGACACGAAAGCGUGGGUAGCAAACAGG